CCUACAGAACAGGCCCAUUAGCAGGAUGUUGUGCAAUAUGGUGCUUGUCAUCUGUUUCAAAGACACAGUGAUGAGAUACAGAGAAAAGACAAUAGAGGUUCCCAGACUCAGAAAGGAAUGUCGGCAGAAGGGGAUUUUUUUUUUUUUCAUGAGAUUGGUACAUCAGCAAGAAAAGUUUUCUUCCUGGGGAGAAAUAUAAGCAAACGUCAAGACAAGAGGAGUCAGCGUGACCCGUGCAAUGCUCUCCUUUCCUUGACAUGCUUGAGAAUCAGAUAUCUCACAGUAAUUGCACUUAGCAUGGAUGCCAUGGGGGAGGGAAUAUGGAAAGCCAGAAGGUAA
RNAcentral lists this long non-coding RNA (339 nucleotides) under Anas platyrhynchos platyrhynchos (common mallard). Its description in RNAcentral is "lncRNA (ENSAPLG00000026338.1)". The record is from RNAcentral. Lineage: Eukaryota; Metazoa; Chordata; Aves; Anseriformes; Anatidae.